AUGGAUCUCAUGUUCAGCUUCUGUUCCCAGCCGGUCGAUGUCGAUGCCGUUCCAGAUCUGGGAGGACUAGAGGAAGGGCAGGCGGCGACGAGUGCGGGGAUGGAGGGGAAGAUGAAGAUACUGAUUCUCCUUCCUCAAGUUCUGCAUCUCAAGUUCAUGAAGCCACGGACGAAUUUUUCAAUGUCCCAGAUAUUGACAGCACCGACAGUCACAAAGAGCCCCAAUCUUAAUCCGGGUGCACUCCAAGUCCGUGACCUCAAAGGGUCCGACUUGGGAAGAUAUCCGACUGCCGCGCCUCAUUAUCGGGAAGGAAAAGUGCUUUGGGGAAAGCCAUGA
RNAcentral lists this ribosomal RNA (336 nucleotides) under Triticum aestivum (bread wheat). Its description in RNAcentral is "partial small subunit ribosomal RNA". Lineage: Eukaryota; Viridiplantae; Streptophyta; Magnoliopsida; Poales; Poaceae. The record is from RNAcentral.